This 341-nucleotide ribosomal RNA is filed under the name uncultured bacterium. RNAcentral's name for it is "bacterial SSU rRNA". It matches the Rfam family "Bacterial small subunit ribosomal RNA", at positions 8 to 350 of the family's 1533-position model. The record is from RNAcentral.
AGAGUUUGAUCAUGGCUCAGGAUGAACGCUAGCUACAGGCUUAACACAUGCAAGUCGAGGGGCAGCAUGUUGGUUGCUUGCAACCAACGAUGGCGACCGGCGCACGGGUGAGUAACGCGUAUCCAACCUACCCUUGUCCAUCGGAUAACCCGUCGAAAGGCGGCCUAACACGAUAUGCGGUUCACGGCAGGCAUCUAAGGUGAACGAAAUGUGAAGGAGAAGGAUGGGGAUGCGUCUGAUUAGCUUGUGGCGGGUAACGCCACAAGGCUACGAUCAGUAGGGUUCUGAGAGGAGGUCCCCCANAUUGGAACUGAGACACGGUCCAAACUCCUACGGAGGCA